RNAcentral lists this ribosomal RNA (523 nucleotides) under uncultured bacterium. RNAcentral describes it as "partial 16S ribosomal RNA". It matches the Rfam family "Bacterial small subunit ribosomal RNA", at positions 28 to 523 of the family's 1533-position model. The record is from RNAcentral.
GACGAACGCUGGCGGCGUGCCUAAUACAUGCAAGUCGAACGCUUUUUCUUUCACCGGAGCUUGCUCCACCGAAAGAAAAAGAGUGGCGAACGGGUGAGUAACACGUGGGUAACCUGCCCAUCAGAAGGGGAUAACACUUGGAAACAGGUGCUAAUACCGUAUAACACUAUUUUCCGCAUGGAAGAAAGUUGAAAGGCGCUUUUGCGUAACUGAUGGAUGGACCCGCGGUGCAUUAGCUAGUUGGUGAGGUAACGGCUCACCAAGGCAACGAUGCAUAGCCGACCUGGGAGGGUGAUCGGCCACACUGGGACUGAGACACGGCCCAGACUCCUACGGGAGGCAGCAGUAGGGAAUCUUCGGCAAUGGACGAAAGUCUGACCGAGCAACGCCGCGUGAGUGAAGAAGGUUUUCGGAUCGUAAAACUCUGUUGUUAGAGAAGAACAAGGAUGAGAGUAGAACGUUCAUCCCUUGACGGUAUCUAACCAGAAAGCCACGGCUAACUACGUGCCAGCCGCCGCAGUAA